This is a non-coding RNA of Vicia faba (fava bean), 255 nucleotides long. NCBI's taxonomy places the organism in Eukaryota, Viridiplantae, Streptophyta, Magnoliopsida, Fabales, Fabaceae. The record is from the annotation of a GenBank genome assembly.
AUGGGUAGAAAGGUUUACGCUUUGGUGUUUGGAAAUUCGCUUCUUUCAUUCUACUCUAUGUUUGGUGAAACGGAAACUGCAAGGUUUCUGUUUGAUAAAAUGCCUGUGAGGGACUUAACUUCUUGGAACACUGUGAUAUCUGGGUAUGUUAAGAAUAAUCAAUCAGGGAAUACUUUGGUGGUUUUUGAUAGAAUGAGAAGAUGUAUGGUGUUGUUGGAGAUGGGAUUACUUUGCUUGCUCUUUUUGUCUGUUUGA